GCCCCUGUAGCUCAGAUGGAAAGAGCAAUGCCGUCGAACGCAUAGGUCGCGGGUUCGAGUCCCGCCAGGGGCG
RNAcentral lists this transfer RNA (73 nucleotides) under Gammaproteobacteria bacterium. Its description in RNAcentral is "tRNA-OTHER". It matches the Rfam family "tRNA". From Rfam's summary of the family: Transfer RNA (tRNA) molecules are approximately 80 nucleotides in length. Lineage: Bacteria; Pseudomonadati; Pseudomonadota; Gammaproteobacteria. The record is from RNAcentral.